This 579-nucleotide ribosomal RNA is filed under the name uncultured bacterium. RNAcentral describes it as "bacterial SSU rRNA". It matches the Rfam family "Bacterial small subunit ribosomal RNA", at positions 338 to 916 of the family's 1533-position model. The record is from RNAcentral.
CCUACGGGAGGCAGCAGUAAGGAAUAUUGGUCAAUGGAGGCAACUCUGAACCAGCCAUGCCGCGUGCAGGAUGACGGCCCUAUGGGUUGUAAACUGCUUUUAUACAAGAGAAAACCCUGGUACGUGUACCAGGUUGAUAGUAUUGUAAGAAUAAGCAUCGGCUAACUUCGUGCCAGCAGCCGCGGUAAGACGAAGGAUGCAAGCGUUAUCCGGAUUCAUUGGGUUUAAAGGGUGCGUAGGCGGACUGAUAAGUCAGUGGUGAAAUCUCUUUGCUUAACAAAGAAACUGCCAUUGAUACUGUCGGUCUAGAGUAUAGAUGACGUUGGCGGAAUAUGACAUGUAGUGGUGAAAUACUUAGAUAUGUCAUAGAACACCGAUUGCGAAGGCAGCUAACGAAACUAUAACUGACGCUGAGGCACGAAAGUGCGGGGAUCAAACAGGAUUAGAUACCCUGGUAGUCCGCACCGUAAACGAUGAUUACUCGUUGUUGGCGAUAUGACAGUCAGCGACCAAGCGAAAGCGAUAAGUAAUCCACCUGGGGAGUACGCCGGCAACGGUGAAACUCAAAUGAAUUGACGG